This 433-nucleotide ribosomal RNA is filed under the name uncultured bacterium. RNAcentral's name for it is "partial 16S ribosomal RNA". It matches the Rfam family "Bacterial small subunit ribosomal RNA", at positions 29 to 507 of the family's 1533-position model. The record is from RNAcentral.
AACGAACGCUGGCGGCAUGCCUAACACAUGCAAGUCGAACGAGACCUUCGGGUCUAGUGGCGCACGGGUGCGUAACGCGUGGGAACCUGCCCUUAGGUUCGGAAUAACUCCCCGAAAGGGGUGCUAAUACCGGAUAAUGUCUUCGGACCAAAGAUUUAUCGCCUUUGGAUGGGCCCGCGUUGGAUUAGCUAGUUGGUAGGGUAAAAGCCUACCAAGGCGACGAUCCAUAGCUGGUCUGAGAGGAUGAUCAGCCACACUGGGACUGAGACACGGCCCAGACUCCUACGGGAGGCAGCAGUGGGGAAUAUUGAACAAUGGGCGAAAGCCUGAUCCAGCAAUGCCGCGUGAGUGAUGAAGGCCUUAGGGUUGUAAAGCUCUUUUACCCGGGGUGAUAAUGACAGUACCGGGAGAAUAAGCUCCGGCUAACUCCGUG